Molecule: long non-coding RNA, 760 nt
Organism: Perca flavescens (yellow perch)
Lineage: Eukaryota; Metazoa; Chordata; Actinopteri; Perciformes; Percidae
Exons: 4
Source: RefSeq, a predicted model, not a curated record
CCGCGUCUUUAGGCCGGGGGUAUCUGCCCGUGUAAGGGUUGUAAGACGAAUAAUAAUAGCUGUCGACUGGCUCGUCACCAUACGUUGCCAUUUUGUUCAACCAGCCGAGGUUGGUAGGUGUAGCUAUUUAAAUAGAUUGGGCAACACGAGCUCUCCAUUAGGCCUAAUUACGGUCAGGUGUGAGCCUGGAGGCAUUUCCUCUCCCCAAAAACAGCAGACACGUGACGAAGGUCAGACAACUUGAGCAGUAUUUGUAACAUAUUGUGGUCUGCUGCUGUGACAGUUUGCUGCCCACAAUAAUGCAUCGGACUCCGUACAGCAUCACCACGCCUGUGUUAAGGAGCCUUGCUGUUUGGGGGCUGCAGCCCACAGAAUCUGAUCCUCUGAGUGAAACUGCUGCAUAUCAAGCUGUGGUGCCGCACACAGAGGAAGCUGAGUGUCUGGAGAAAAUAAAUGCACUGACGUCACAGGGAGAGGGACAGGACAGCACCCAUCAGUGACUCAGGCCUUCAUCGGCCUCCUCCCCUUCCCGGAGACACAUUGUGUCCCCCAUUAACCAAUGGAUGACUCCUGUUUGAUUGGAGAGCCCCCUGCUGGCCCAUUUCAGUAACAACCUUCUCUCCAGUUGUCUCCUGUGCCGCCGUAUGUCCGAGGAGCGGGAAGAGAUCUGAGAAGGUUGGGCCAAUUUGCUGCGAGGCAGAGGGAUCCCCCCUCCUGCAGAAGCACUGGGUCGGGGCAGGCCGCUGCGGGGAGAAGCCAG